GGUGCCACAGUGGGCCCCUCCCACAAGUGGCCAGCUGUCAGUGAGCAACCGUUAGUGGUCCUGCUCAGCCAUUGGCUGGCGCCACAGUGGGCCCCUCCCACAAGUAACUGGCUGUCAGUGAGCAACCGUUAGUGGGUCCGUUAAGCCAGCAGUUGUCAGAGUGGUGGGCAUCCAGCAGAGAGUGAGCCAUGAUGACAGGGAAACUUGGCAUCGGCAUGGAUCCUCCCCCAAAAGUUCUGGCUCUUUUUGCUGCUGAGAUCAGAAAGCUGAGCAAGCGGACCCUAGAUCCCUGACCAGGGAUUGAACCUAUGCCCCCUGCAAUGGAAGUUUGAAGUCCUGACUACUGGACCACCGGGAAACUCCCUAAAUUUUAGCUUUACUACACAUACACUGAUUGAAUGAGAAGUCUCAGCUACACUUCAUGUCAACUGAAAUCCACAACAUGAGUUAAAACCUACAUCACUUGCAACAGCCCAUCUCAAAGAGAUAAGGACUGAAAAUGCCUGGGGCUGGUGGGUUUGGAGUUUAGGGUGUGUGUAAUUCAUUUGAGACUUUUCAAGGCUUUGGCCAUAGGAAUGAAGAGUGGGCUCUUGUUCUGCUCAGCAACCUUCAAGUUUAUUUAUUAAACCCUGCUUUGUGUCUAAUCUUUCUUUUUGUGGCCAUGCAGCAACACACCGUAAUUCUCUAAUACUGUACAGUGCCAGCAUCUUGGAGGGUUUCAGGACAGAUCCGAAGAGCCAGCAGUCUCUGCAUUGUAACAGUCAGAUGCAGGAAUCCUUGAGAGACCUGCGACUCUCUAAAGCCGGGAACUGAAGCAGUUUUUCUUUAAACAUUUAUUACAAAUACAAGCAUUAUUUGUAUUCAGCACAGACCGAAGAAAGACUAAGCAGUUGGUCCUUUUUAUUGCAGUUGAAAUCUGGCCCGAUCUGGCAACCCUUUUUAGAAUCAAACACUGAAUAAAGUUCCCAAGACAUGUGGGGAGGUGAGACAGUUUCUGUUUGUAGCACAGGGGUGUUGGGUGUGGGGGUGUCUCCUGCGUGGGCUAGACACAUGGGUCUCCAGGGGAGCUAGCAGGCUACAGGCUUACCUCACUCUUGGUUGAUGAUGGUGAAACUGAGAAUGAGGAAUGCCACAGGACUUCAUUUUUCAUUAAAUUAGGAGCACUCUAAGGUCAAAUACAGCUGUCAGAAACCCAGUUCCAACCGGCUUAAGUAAAAAAGUGAAUCUGUGGGUUCUUGGGGCUAUGAAGUGCCUGAUUCUAGCUUCAGGCAUGGCUUGAUCUAGGGGUCUUAGAUUGGAUACCUUAGAGACAGAGCUUGCAAUGGGGAUUCUUGUGCAAUGAAUUAUUGAGAAAAUGCUCUCAGGAAGAGUUGCAAGGGAAUGAAUCUGUAAGUAGGAUAGAGUGAAAGAAACAGCCAGCGAAGCCUGCUGUUUCAGCUGGAAUCUAGCUUCAGCCUGACCCCACAAGGAGCUCUGGAGUGUAGAUAACAUUACAGAGCUGUCUCACCCCACAAGGAGCUCUGGAGUGGAGAUAACAUUACAGAGCUGUCUCACCCCACAAGGAGCUCUGGAGUGGAGAUAACAUUACAGAGCUGUCUCACCCCACAAGGAGCUCUGGAGUGGAGAUAACAUUACAGAGCCGUCUCAGCCCACAAGGAGCUCUGGAGUGGAGAUAACAUUACAGAGCCGUCUCAGCCCACAAGGAGCUCUGGAGUGGAGAUCACAUUACAGAGCCGUCUCACCCCACAAGGAGCUCUGGAGUGGAGAUCACAUUACAGAGCCGUCUCACCCCACAAGGAGCUCUGGAGUGGAGAUCACAUUACAGAGCCGUCUCAGCCCACAAGGAGCUCUGGAGUGGAGAUCACAUUACAGAGCCGUCUCAGCCCACAAGGAGCUCUGGAGUGGAGAUCACAUUACAGAGCCGUCUCAGCCCACAAGGAGCUCUGGAGUGGAGAUCACAUCACAGAGCUGUCUCACCCCACAAGGAGCUCUGGAGUGGAGAUCACAUUACAGAGCUGUCUCAGCCCACAAGGAGCUCUGGAGUGGAGAUCACAUUACAGAGCCGUCUCAGCCCACAAGGAGCUCUGGAGUGGAGAUCACAUUACAGAGCCGUCUCACCCCACAAGGAGCUCUGGAGUGGAGAUAACAUUACAGAGCCGUCUCAGCCCACAAGGAGCUCUGGAGUGGAGAUCACAUUACAGAGCUGUCUCAGCCCACAAGGAGCUCUGGAGUGGAGAUCACAUUACAGAGCUGUCUCACCCCACAAGGAGCUCUGGAGUGGAGAUCACAUUACAGAGCCGUCUCAGCCCACAAGGAGCUCUGGAGUGGAGAUCACAUUACAGAGCCGUCUCAGCCCACAAGGAGCUCUGGAGUGGAGAUCACAUCACAGAGCUGUCUCACCCCACAAGGAGCUCUGGAGUGGAGAUCACAUCACAGAGCUGUCUCACCCCACAAGGAGCUCUGGAGUGGAGAUCACAUCACAGAGCUGUCUCACCCCACAAGGAGCUCUGGAGUGGAGAUCACAUCACAGAGCUGUCUCACUCUAAGGCAAGAAGCUUGGCCUUUGGUACUUUCGUAUUAGUCUGUCAUUGACUGUGUGCUGUCUCUGAAAUGGAGCACAUAACCUCCUGGGACUUUCUGGACAAAGUGACUUUCUUUGGCUAAAGGUAAUUCUCUGAAAAUUUCAACUGUGAGCUGUUAGCAAUCCUCAGUUACAGUCAGUUCUUACAGAUGGGUGCAGUCUGGUAGCGGGGAUCUGGGCAAGGUAUCAACCUUGUCUACAUCAAGGGGCUCAAGCAAUGACCUAGGGUUUCACCUCUCACCCUACUUCUGAGGUUUACUUCUUGGCUCCAUUCUCAAAUAGCAUGGGGACAAGGUGACCACCAAAGGCCCUGAGCUCUCC
Molecule: long non-coding RNA, 2902 nt
Organism: Bos taurus (domestic cattle)
Lineage: Eukaryota; Metazoa; Chordata; Mammalia; Artiodactyla; Bovidae
Source: Ensembl